Molecule: ribosomal RNA, 253 nt
Filed under: uncultured bacterium
Lineage: Bacteria
Description: partial 16S ribosomal RNA
Rfam family: Bacterial small subunit ribosomal RNA
Source: RNAcentral
UACGAAGGGGGCUAGCGUUGUUCGGAAUUACUGGGCGUAAAGCGCGUGUAGGCGGAUUGGUGUGUCAGAUGUGAAAUCCCUGGGCUCAACCCAGGAACUGCACCUGAAACUACCAGUCUUGAGUGGUGGAGAGGGAAGUGGAAUUCCUGGUGUAGAGGUGAAAUUCGUAGAUAUCAGGAGGAACACCAGUGGCGAAGGCGGCUUCCUGGACACCAACUGACGCUGAGACGCGAAAGCGUGGGGAGCAAACAGG